RNAcentral lists this ribosomal RNA (564 nucleotides) under uncultured bacterium. RNAcentral describes it as "bacterial SSU rRNA". It matches the Rfam family "Bacterial small subunit ribosomal RNA", at positions 1 to 540 of the family's 1533-position model. The record is from RNAcentral.
UACUCCGAAUGCUCUAGAUUAAAGUUUGAUCAUGGCUCAGAUCCGAACGCUNGCGGCAGGCCUAACACAUGCAAGUCGAACGGUAACAGGAAGCAGCUUGCUGCUUCGCUGACGAGUGGCGGACGGGUGAGUAAUGUCUGGGAAACUGCCUGAUGGAGGGGGAUAACUACUGGAAACGGUAGCUAAUACCGCAUAACGUCGCAAGACCAAAGAGGGGGACCUCCGGGCCUCUUGCCAUCGGAUGUGCCCAGAUGGGAUUAGCUAGUAGGUGGGGUAACGGCUCACCUAGGCGACGAUCCCUAGCUGGUCUGAGAGGAUGACCAGCCACACUGGAACUGAGACACGGUCCAGACUCCUACGGGAGGCAGCAGUGGGGAAUAUUGCACAAUGGGCGCAAGCCUGAUGCAGCCAUGCCGCGUGUAUGAAGAAGGCCUUCGGGUUGUAAAGUACUUUCAGCGGGGAGGAAGGCGAUAAGGUUAAUAACCUUGUCGAUUGACGUUACCCGCAGAAGAAGCACCGGCUAACUCCGUGCCAGCAGCCGCGGUAAUACGGAGGGUGCAAGCG